UUUUAGGGCAAGUCUGGUGCCAGCAGCCGCGGUAAUUCCAGCUCCAAUAGCGUAUAUUAAAGUUGUUGCAGUUAAAAAGCUCGUAGUUGAAUUUCGAGAUCAGUACGCUGGUCGUGCCUUCGGUAUGCACUGGUGUCACUGGUUUCUCCCUUCUGAAGAACCGUCAUGUCAUUAAGUUGGUGUGGCGGGGAAUCAGGACUGUUACUUUGAAAAAAUUAGAGUGUUUAAAGCAGGCUCGCGCUUGAAUACAUUAGCAUGGAAUAAUGAAAUAGGACGUUUGACCCUAUUUUGUUGGUUUCUAGGAUCGACGUAAUGAUUAAUAGGGAUAGUUGGGGGCAUUAGUAUUCAAUUGUCAGAGGUGAAAUUCUUGGAUUUAUUGAAGACUAACUACUGCGAAAGCAUUUGCCAAGGAUGUUUUCAUUAAUCAAGAACGAAAGUUAGGGGAUCGAAGACGAUCAGAUACCGUCGUAGUCUUAACCAUAAACUAUGCCGACUAGGGAUCGGAUGAUGUUAAUUUUUUAAUGACUCAUUCGGCGCCUUACGGGAAAC
This 549-nucleotide ribosomal RNA is filed under the name uncultured Glomus. Its description in RNAcentral is "SSU rRNA". It matches the Rfam family "Eukaryotic small subunit ribosomal RNA", at positions 548 to 1098 of the family's 1831-position model. Lineage: Eukaryota; Fungi; Glomeromycota; Glomeromycetes; Glomerales; Glomeraceae. The record is from RNAcentral.